GCCUGGUUCGUUCAGUUGGUAGAGCAUGUGACUCUUGAUCUCGGGAUUGUGAGUUCAAGCACACAUUAGGCA
This 72-nucleotide transfer RNA is filed under the name Felis catus (domestic cat). It matches the Rfam family "tRNA". From Rfam's summary of the family: Transfer RNA (tRNA) molecules are approximately 80 nucleotides in length. RNAcentral also lists the same sequence under 1 other name. Lineage: Eukaryota; Metazoa; Chordata; Mammalia; Carnivora; Felidae. The record is from Rfam by way of RNAcentral.